RNAcentral lists this ribosomal RNA (520 nucleotides) under uncultured bacterium. Its description in RNAcentral is "bacterial SSU rRNA". It matches the Rfam family "Bacterial small subunit ribosomal RNA", at positions 8 to 518 of the family's 1533-position model. The record is from RNAcentral.
AGAGUUUGAUCCUGGCUUAGGAUGAACGCUAGCUACAGGCUUAACACAUGCAAGGUCGAGGGGCAGCAUUGGAGUAGCAAUACUCAGAUGGCGACCGGCGCACGGGUGAGUAACACGUAUCCAACCUGCCGCUUACUCGGGGAUAGCCUUUCGAAAGAAAGAUUAAUACCCGAUGGUAUAAAGAGUUCGCAUGUUCUCUUUAUUAAAGAAUUUCGGUAAGCGAUGGGGAUGCGUUCCAUUAGAUAGUUGGCGGGGUAACGGCCCACCAAGUCUACGAUGGAUAGGGGUUCUGAGAGGAAGGUCCCCCACAUUGGAACUGAGACACGGUCCAAACUCCUACGGGAGGCAGCAGUGAGGAAUAUUGGUCAAUGGACGAGAGUCUGAACCAGCCAAAGUAGCGUGAAGGAUGACUGCCCUAUGGGUUGUAAACUUCUUUUAUAAGGGAAUAAAGUGAGGGACGUGUCCCUUUUUGUAUCGUACCUUAUGAAUAAGGAUCGGCUAACUCCGUGCCAGCCGCGGC